AUGCAAUCCAAGAGAAGGAGCCUCUUGGCAGCCUUGGUCUUGGCCACCAGCUUGCUAUCGGCCGAAGCCCUCCGCGUCGUGGCCAACCCCCCAAACCCUCGUCUUGGCCAGUCGGUCACUCUGUCCUUGCAGGAUGUCGAUUACCCCUACAUCUGCUUUUGGAGCAGAGGCAACAAAUUUGACAAGGGGAGGAUGAUCUUUCAAGCAGUAAGCGGCCAAGUGACCGGCCGGGGCGGGGGCUUCACCGGCCGUGAACACCUGGGAAGGGACUGCGCCCUCACCAUCAACAACUUGCAGGCCUCGGAUUCCGGGGACUACAGCCUGGUCAUACUGGAUGGGCGCCCGGGCCGGACACAGCGCUGGACGGAUGACGUGAUACGGCUGCAUGUGGCCUAGUGAAAAAGGUUAUCUGGAGAUUACAUUUCUGGAUCUCCUUGCAUGGUGUCACCUGUGGAAAGAGAGGCCACCGACUGAUGACCAGCCAUGAAUCCCAAGGAUGAAUCAGCCACCCCGUUUCCCCCCUUCCUUCAUUCUAACACCUCCUCCCCAUAAAAUCCCCAAACUCCAAUUAAAAUGCGCAUGGCCAGUUCAAAAUCCACUCUGAAGAGUCAUUUGUGUAUGGGUGAGGGUGUGUUGUUCAUGUUUGUGCCAUUUAGUGACACUGGCAAGCUCUCUUUGGUUGUGGAUAGGCGGGAACUGCAACAAAAUGUUGUAGCAGAGCGAAGCAGUCUGGAUAGCUCAGUGGUUUAGGAAGAAGUUGGGGGUUCGAUUCCCCCACGGGACCUCCUUGAAGGGGGCUGGACUUGAUGAUCGACAGGGUCCCUUCCAGCAUUGCAGUUCUAAGGUUAUUAUUAUAUAAUUUCUCCAGCAUUGCAGUUCUAAGAUUAUUAUUAUACAACUCUUAUUUUGGACAUUUUGCUCCAUUUCUCCUCCCUUCAUUCAGGUCUUCCAUUUCUUUUAACAGUCUGCCAUCAUUUUGUGACUUCGGAGCCCACUCUGUCCUCGUUGAGCUGUUGGGCUUCCCCUGCAUUUAAGGACACUUCCCCACGUUCGUGCUUUGGUACUACAAUAUCGACUUUGCUAUUAGAGUGGAGGGUUAGAAAGGGACAGGAAGUUGCCAGCAUUUUCUAAUCAAGUCAAACUCAAAAGAAGCUAAACUUUGAAAACCUCUCCCUGCAAAGUUCUUGAGAGUUAG
RNAcentral lists this long non-coding RNA (1195 nucleotides) under Pogona vitticeps (central bearded dragon). RNAcentral describes it as "lncRNA (ENSPVIG00000021656.1)". Lineage: Eukaryota; Metazoa; Chordata; Lepidosauria; Squamata; Agamidae. The record is from RNAcentral.